Molecule: small nuclear RNA, 106 nt
Filed under: Dasypus novemcinctus (nine-banded armadillo)
Lineage: Eukaryota; Metazoa; Chordata; Mammalia; Cingulata; Dasypodidae
Source: RNAcentral
GUGCUUGUUCUGCAGCACAUAUACUAAAAUUGGAGCAAUACAAAGAAGAUUAGCAUGGUCCCUGCACAAGGAUGACACAUAAAUUCGUGAAGGGUUCCAUAUUUAA